Molecule: ribosomal RNA, 209 nt
Filed under: uncultured bacterium
Lineage: Bacteria
Description: partial 16S ribosomal RNA
Rfam family: Bacterial small subunit ribosomal RNA
Source: RNAcentral
GUUCGGAUCGCAGGCUGNAACCCGCCUGCGUGAAGUCGGAAUCGCUAGUAAUCGCGGAUCAGCAUGCCGCGGUGAAUACGUUCCCGGGCCUUGUACACACCGCCCGUCACACCAUGAGAGUCGGGAACACCCGAAGUCCGUAGCCUAACCGCAAGGGGGCGCGGCCGAAGGUGGGUUCGAUAAUUGGGGUGAAGUCGUAACAAGGUAAC